GCGGCAGUAGUUCAAUUGGUAGAGCCCUAGCCUUCCAAGCUAGUUGUUGCGGGUUCGAGUCCCGUCUGCCGCUCCA
Molecule: transfer RNA, 76 nt
Filed under: Coriobacteriia bacterium
Lineage: Bacteria; Bacillati; Actinomycetota; Coriobacteriia
Description: tRNA-Gly
Rfam family: tRNA
About the family: Transfer RNA (tRNA) molecules are approximately 80 nucleotides in length. Their secondary structure includes four short double-helical elements and three loops (D, anti-codon, and T loops).
Source: RNAcentral